This 503-nucleotide ribosomal RNA is filed under the name uncultured bacterium. RNAcentral describes it as "partial 16S ribosomal RNA". It matches the Rfam family "Bacterial small subunit ribosomal RNA", at positions 30 to 523 of the family's 1533-position model. The record is from RNAcentral.
AUUGAACGCUGGCGGCAGGCUUAACACAUGCAAGUCGAGCGGGGUGAUGGUGCUUGCACUAUCACUUAGCGGCGGACGGGUGAGUAAUGCUUAGGAAUCUGCCUAUUAGUGGGGGACAACAUCUCGAAAGGGAUGCUAAUACCGCAUACGUCCUACGGGAGAAAGCAGGGGAUCACUUGUGACCUUGCGCUAAUAGAUGAGCCUAAGUCGGAUUAGCUAGUUGGUGGGGUAAAGGCCUACCAAGGCGACGGUCUGUAGCGGGUCUGAGAGGAUGAUCCGCCACACUGGGACUGCGACACGGCCCAGACUCCGACGGGAGGCAGCAGUGGGGAAUAUUGGACAAUGGGGGGAACCCUGAUCCAGCCAUGCCGCGUGUGUGAAGAAGGCCUUAUGGUUGUAAAGCACUUUAAGCGAGGAGGAGGCUCUUUUGGUUAAUACCCAAGAUGAGUGGACGUUACUCGCAGAAUAAGCACCGGCUAACUCUGUGCCAGCAGCCGCCGCCG